AAAGCUCAGUAACACGUAGUCAACCUACCCUAUGGACGGGGAUAAUCUCGGGAAACUGAGCAUAAUACCCGGUAGACCACUUAUCCUGGAAUGGUUAGUGGUUAAAAUGAUUCGUCGCCAUAGGAUGGGACUGCGGCCUAUCAGCUUGUUGGUGAGGUAAUGGCCCACCAAGGCGAUUACAGGUACGGGCUCUGAGAGGAGAAGCCCGGAGAUGGGUACUGAGACAAGGACCCAGGCCCUAUGGGGCGCAGCAGGCGAGAAAACUUUGCAAUGUGCGAAAGCACGACAAGGUUAAUCCGAGUGAUUUCUGCUAAAGGAAUCUUUUGUUAGUUCUAAAAAUACUAGUGAAUAAGGGGUGGGCAAGUUCUGGUGUCAGCCGCCGCGGUAAAACCAGCACCUCAAGUGGUCAGGAGGAUUAUUGGGCCUAAAGCAUCCGUAGCCUGUUCUAUAAGUUUGCGGUUAAAUCUAUACGCUCAACGUAUAGGCUGCCGUAAAUACUGUAGAACUAGGGAGUGGGAGAGGUAGACGGUACUCGAUAGGAAGGGGUAAAAUCCUUUGAUCUAUUGAUGACCACCUGUGGCGAAGGCGGUCUACCAGAACACGUUCGACGGUGAGGGAUGAAAGCUGGGGGAGCAAACCGGAUUAGAUACCCGGGUAGUCCCAGCUGUAAACGAUGCAGACUCGAUGAUGCAAUGGCAUAGAGCUAUUGCAGUAUCGCAGGGAAGCCGUUAAGUUUGCCGCCUGGGAAGUACGUACGCAAGUAUGAAACUUAAAGGAAUUGGCGGGGGAGCAC
RNAcentral lists this ribosomal RNA (793 nucleotides) under uncultured archaeon. Its description in RNAcentral is "bacterial SSU rRNA". It matches the Rfam family "Archaeal small subunit ribosomal RNA", at positions 85 to 879 of the family's 1478-position model. The record is from RNAcentral.